This 477-nucleotide ribosomal RNA is filed under the name uncultured bacterium. RNAcentral's name for it is "partial 16S ribosomal RNA". It matches the Rfam family "Bacterial small subunit ribosomal RNA", at positions 28 to 522 of the family's 1533-position model. The record is from RNAcentral.
GACGAACGCUGGCGGCGUGCUUAACACAUGCAAGUCGAACGGUAAGGCCCUUCGGGGUACACGAGUGGCGAACGGGUGAGUAACACGUGGGUGAUCUGCCCUGCACUUCGGGAUAAGCCUGGGAAACUGGGUCUAAUACCGGAUAGGACCACUGCCUGCAUGGGUGGUGGUGGAAAGCUUUUGCGGUGUGGGAUGGGCCCGCGGCCUAUCAGCUUGUUGGUGGGGUGAUGGCCUACCAAGGCGACGACGGGUAGCCGGCCUGAGAGGGUGACCGGCCACACUGGGACUGAGAUACGGCCCAGACUCCUACGGGAGGCAGCAGUGGGGAAUAUUGCACAAUGGGCGCAAGCCUGAUGCAGCGACGCCGCGUGAGGGAUGACGGCCUUCGGGUUGUAAACCUCUUUCAGCACCGACGAAGUGCAAGUGACGGUAGGUGCAGAAGAAGGACCGGCCAACUACGUGCCAGCAGCCGCGGUA